RNAcentral lists this ribosomal RNA (253 nucleotides) under uncultured bacterium. RNAcentral's name for it is "partial 16S ribosomal RNA". It matches the Rfam family "Bacterial small subunit ribosomal RNA", at positions 524 to 776 of the family's 1533-position model. The record is from RNAcentral.
UACGAAGGGGGCUAGCAUUGUUCGGAAUCACUGGGCGUAAAGAGCACGUAGGCGGAUCUUUCAGUCAGGGGUGAAAUCCCGAGGCUCAACCUCGGAACUGCCUUUGAUACUGGAGGUCUCGAGUCCGGGAGAGGUGAGUGGAACUGCGAGUGUAGAGGUGAAAUUCGUAGAUAUUCGCAAGAACACCAGUGGCGAAGGCGGCUCACUGGCCCGGUACUGACGCUGAGGUGCGAAAGCGUGGUGAGCAAACAGG